GCUCGGGUAGUUUAAAUAGAACAUAACGUUGAAGGUGUUAAGGUAGACAUAAGUUUCUUGGGCG
This 64-nucleotide transfer RNA is filed under the name Sanguinolaria ovalis. RNAcentral describes it as "tRNA-Phe". Lineage: Eukaryota; Metazoa; Mollusca; Bivalvia; Cardiida; Psammobiidae. The record is from RNAcentral.